RNAcentral lists this ribosomal RNA (253 nucleotides) under uncultured bacterium. Its description in RNAcentral is "partial 16S ribosomal RNA". It matches the Rfam family "Bacterial small subunit ribosomal RNA", at positions 524 to 776 of the family's 1533-position model. The record is from RNAcentral.
UACGUAGGGUGCGAGCGUUGUCCGGAAUUAUCGGGCGUAAAGAGCUCGUAGGCGGUUUGUCGCGUCUGCUGUGAAAACCUAAGGCUCAACCUUGGGCUUGCAGUGGGUACGGGCAGACUAGAGUGCGGUAGGGGUGACUGGAAUUCCUGGUGUAGCGGUGGAAUGCGCAGAUAUCAGGAGGAACACCGAUGGCGAAGGCAGGUCUCUGGGCCACUACUGACGCUGAGAAGCGAAAGCAUGGGGAGCGAACAGG